UGACCGCGAACUGGAAUCGUGGAUAAAAUCGUGCGUACCAGGAAGCUGGAAGGCUUAAAAGAUCAACACUGACACUCAUCCGGAAGAGUAAUGAUUUCUGUUUUGAUUUUAUCUGCAUGAAAGCCAUGUGUGUUGCCCGACACGUAAUGGUUCAUUGUAAGGGCCAUCUCAUGUCUCAUUUGCAACAUUUCUGCAUCAUUAAUAAAUGGAUGUUUUUCAGUCAAAAAGCG
RNAcentral lists this long non-coding RNA (230 nucleotides) under Lathyrus oleraceus (garden pea). RNAcentral describes it as "Pisum sativum (pea) long non-coding RNA (PSAT_LNC011106)". Lineage: Eukaryota; Viridiplantae; Streptophyta; Magnoliopsida; Fabales; Fabaceae. The record is from RNAcentral.